UUCGGUAUGUAAAGUUCUUUUAUUGAAGAAGAAAAAAUAGUGGAAAAACUAUCUUGACGAUAUUCAAUGAAUAAGCCCCGGCAAACUAUGUGUCAGCAGCCGCGGUAAUACAUAGGGGGCGAGCGUUAUCCGGAAUUAUUGGGCGUAAAGGGUGCGUAGGCGGUUUGGUAAGUCUAUAGUUUAAUUUCAGUGCUUAACACUGUUCUGCUAUAGAAACUAUCAGACUAGAGUGAGAUAGAGGCAAGUGGAAUUCCAUGUGUAGCGGUAAAAUGCGUAAAUAUAUGGAGGAACACCAGAGGCGUAGGCGGCUUGCUGGGUCUUUACUGACGCUGAGGCACGAAAGCGUGGGGAGCAAACAGGAUUAGAUACCCUGGUAGUCCACGCCGUAAACGAUGAGUACUAAGUGUCGGGGAAACUCGGUACUGAAGUUAACACAUUAAGUACUCCGCCUGAGUAGUACGUACGCAAGUAUGAAACUUAAAGGAAUUGACGGGACUCCGCACAAGCGGUGGAUCAUGUUGUUUAAUUCGAAGAUACACGAAAAACCUUACCAGGUCUUGACAUACUCUGCAAAGCUAUAGCAAUAUAGUGGAGGUUACCAGGGAUACAGGUGGUGCAUGGUUGUCGUCAGCUCGUGUCGUGAGAUGUUAGGUUAAGUCCUAAAACGAGCGCAACCCUUGUCACUAGUUGCCAGCAUGUUAUGAUGGGCACUUUAGUGAGACUGCCAAUGAAAAAUUGGAGGAAGGUGAGGAUCACGUCAAAUCAUCAUGCCCCUUAUGAUCUGGGCUACAAACGUGAUACAAUGGCUGUUAC
RNAcentral lists this ribosomal RNA (813 nucleotides) under Euphorbia dendroides' fasciation phytoplasma. RNAcentral's name for it is "bacterial SSU rRNA". It matches the Rfam family "Bacterial small subunit ribosomal RNA", at positions 417 to 1240 of the family's 1533-position model. RNAcentral also lists the same sequence under 3 other names. The record is from RNAcentral. Lineage: Bacteria; Bacillati; Mycoplasmatota; Mollicutes; Acholeplasmatales; Acholeplasmataceae.